AGGAAUCGGGAGGAAGCUUAGGGACGUCGGCUUCCAUGGCAGAUGGGGGAGGCGCCCGUCUGGGGCUCGGCGGAGCUGACCGGUGGUGCAGCCAGCGCCGGCGAGCACGAUGGUAGCGGUGGCAGUGGCUGGCAGCGUGGCAGACGGCGAAUCAAGUGGAGGACGAUCGCAGCUUCUCACCGCUGUAGAAGGAGUUUCCAGCGACCAUUUCGGGCGAUUCCAGUCUCAAAAUGACCAGUGAGGUGCAAGCCUUCUUUUCCGGCCUUAAUCGCGUUGUGGGAUUGCCGGAAAAGAAAGUUGCAACGAAGGGAAGUUUUCGUCAACAGCUUGGUUUUUAAGCUUUUCUGGCCAUCUCCGAAUAGGCUUGGCUGGUCAGAGCUCAUUAACGGACUCUCCUAAGCUCAAGCUUCGCAUUGGCACCGGUUUCGUGGCGAUCGGGCUUCGUUUGUAAAUCGACGGCCGAGAUCGUUCGCAAAACUCUCCGGACGAUCGGGUGUCAGAUCGGAAAAUCAGAAGCGGGGAUCGUCGCCAGCGUGUCGUUUCGAGUCCGAUGGUGAGUUCGGAUCGUCGAUCGGACUCCGGCGGCUGGAGGCGAGUCGACCGAGCGAUCGAGCGUCUCGAUAAUUUUCUCUGGCCGUUGAUCUUGGAAAUUCUUUGAUUUAGAAUUGUGCUUAUUGUUUUAUAUUGAGUAUUUAAUAUUUGUGAGUCAAAAAUAAUUGUCUGUCAGUUUACCUGCCUCGUAUUUUGUGCUGUGUGGCGGAGUCGGGAAAUAGUGAAGUAUGGGGACCCGACUCCCGUUGUCUGGAUUGUUGGAUAUUUGUAGUGUUUUUCUGGCAGGUCCUGGACCCGUUUUUAUAGGGGGUAAUGUCCGUGUUGUAGGGAAGGUUCUGCCAGAUUUUCGGUAGAAUUCUCCCGAGUCGAGAUUCUUAGACAGUCAGUCCUAGGAAUCUAGACCUAGGGUCAAUUGUAAUUGUUCAACAUAUUGAUAAAUUGUUUUCCGUGAUUAGAUGAUCUGCCUGUUCGGCUCGCUCCAACCGAUGCACCGGAGCAGAGCUAGGAGGUCGCCCAAAACCUGUGAGUUAAAGUCAUUUAAUCAUUACACUAUUUCUAAGUCUGAUUUUAAUAUGCUAUUUUAGAAUUUGUACUUAAUAUGAUUAUUAGUAUCGCAAAAUAAAUAAUUUUACUUGAUUAUUAAUUAUUGAAAAUAAUAUAAAUAUUAUUAUUAGUAACGUUAUAAUAAUACAUAUAUUAUUAUUUUUUUCGACACAAAUUGCACGUUGCCUUAUCCUAAUUUUUUAAUUUUUAUUUCGAUAUGUGUUGAAUGAUUUCAUUAGACAAUGAUAUUUAUUAAAUGGACAUAAGAUUAUUAUGGAUUUGUUUGCUCUGAUUGAGCAUUGCUCUCUGGGCUGAGUUCAAUUGAUUGUCGGAGUUAAGGUCCCUGAUCGAGCAACGCUCUCUGGGCGCCGGCUUAUUUGGAAUUCAAGUGUUCAGGCUGGAGGUAAGGACCCUGAUCGAGCUUGCUCUCUGGGCGCCAGACCUGUUGGAUUAAGAGAGCCGAAAGGCUACUAGAAUUUGGAGUUAGGGUUCUACUGAGCCACUCGUCCCGUAAAAGUAAAAAUAUAUUUUAUUUAUUUAUUUAUUUAUUAUGGUAUGAUUAUAAUAUGAGUUGUAUUUACGUGCAUGGUUUGAUAUACUGAUUCGAAUAAUUAAUAUUUUCUGUGAAGACUGCAAUAGUCUCUAGAUUACUUGAUUUUAACUCACUCUCGAGACUAACAGUCUCAAUUUAUUUUUUUUCAGAUGCGUGACUGUUAGUUUUCCCGCGACUCUUAUUCAAUAACCCGACUCCUUCAUCAUCGGAUGAUGUAUUUGAUUUGGUAUGUAAAUUGGUAAAUCUUAGAUUCUCCGCAGUAGUAAUAGUAGAUGUAUCAGCUGUAAUUUUCUAUAGUUUCGAGUCUCGCCUAAUUCUUUCGGCAGACCGAUUCAAUUGUGUAACAUUUAAUGUUAAGAUAAUUUAUGGCUUUAAUAAUAUUAAUUUGAGAUGAGAUUUGAUUGAGUUAGUGAGUGUCAAGCUUACUACGGGAUUCGGUGG
RNAcentral lists this long non-coding RNA (2089 nucleotides) under Ricinus communis (castor bean). RNAcentral describes it as "long non-coding RNA (RCOM_LNC000171)". The record is from RNAcentral. Lineage: Eukaryota; Viridiplantae; Streptophyta; Magnoliopsida; Malpighiales; Euphorbiaceae.